CUUAUCACAGCAGAAUUUGUAACAUGCCAUAAUUUCUUAACCGGUGUGUGUAGCCCCGGAAAUCAAAUGUCAUUACCCGACGCGGCUAAUUUGGCGAUUAUUCCUGCUCUUUUGUUUUUUGACAAUGCCAGCGGCGGGGACCAGUCGCACCUUUACGAUCGGAUCCUCGGUGUCGCUGCUUGUUUGCACUGAAGAAGCCUCCUAGGAUUGUCCGCUUGAUGGUAUAGCUUGCAGAGACUCCAACUGUCAUUGAUCCGCUACCAGAGCCUCUACGGAUAGUAAAGGAAUAAAUUCGCCAAGAUGAUGUGCGAGGUGAUGCCCACCAUCAGCGAGGACACAGCGCUGAGCCAGCGCGGCUCUCAGAGCAGCACCUCAGACCCGGACUCCCACUUUGAGCAGCUGAUGGUCAACAUGCUGGACGAGAGAGACCGGCUGCUGGACACGCUGAGGGAGACCCAGGAGAGCCUCGGCCUGGCCCAGCAGCAUCUUCAGGACGUCAUCUAUGACCGUGACUCUCUGCAGCGCCAGCUCAGCUCUGCCCUGCCACAGGAGUUUGCUGCGCUGACCAAGGAGCUGAACGCCUGCAGGGAGCAGCUGCUGGAGAAGGAGGAGGAGAUCUCUGAGCUCAAAGCAGAGAGGAACAACACCAGGCUACUGCUGGAGCAUCUGGAGUGCCUGGUGUCCAGACAUGAGCGGUCACUUCGUAUGACAGUGGUCAAGCGGCAGGCUCAGUCUCCCUCGGGAGUCUCCAGUGAAGUUGAGGUCCUCAAAGCGCUCAAGUCCUUGUUUGAACACCAUAAAGCCCUAGAUGAGAAGGUACGAGAGAGACUACGGGUGUCACUGGAGAGGGUGUCUGCCUUGGAGGAGGAGCUCACAGCAGCCAAUCAGGAGAUUGUGGCCUUACGGGAACAAAAUGCUCACAUUCAGAGAAAAGUGGCUUCCGGGGAGGGAGGAGAGGACAUAUUGGAGGGCAGUGAAACUCAACAGAAGAUCCAUAGCAAGCGUCUGUCCAACGGCUCUCUGGAGUCGGCCCAUGAAGCGAGCCAGGUGGUGGAGCUGCAGGACCUGCUGGAGAAGCAGAACUACGAGCUGGCCCAGAUGAAGGAGCGCAUGUCCUCCCUCUCCUCUCGGGUCUCCGAGGUGGAGCAGGAGCUGGAGACUGCCCGCAAAGACCUCAUCAAGUCAGAGGAGAUGAACAACAAGUACCAGAGGGACAUCAAAGAGGCCAUGUGUCAGAAGGAAGACAUGGAGGAACGGAUUGUAACUUUGGAAAAACGCUACCUAAGCGCCCAACGAGAGUCCACCUCGGUGCACGACAUCAAUGACAAACUGGAGAAUGAGUUGGCCAACAAGGAGGCGUUCCUCAGACAGAUGGAGGAGAAGAACAGGCAGCUACAGGAGAGGCUGGAGCUUGCAGAGCAGAAGCUCCAGCAGACCAUGAGGAAGGCUGAGACGCUGCCGGAGGUAGAGGCUGAACUGGCCCAGAGGAUAGCAGCCCUCACCAAGUCUGACUCCAGCUCCUCUUCCUCCCCUGAUGAUUAUCACUUUGUUAUGGAAGCUAAACUCCAAGACAUGAACUCCAUUCUUAGGAAGGCGGAAGAGCGUCACGGGAGCAUUGAGGAGCGAAUGAGGCACUUGGAAUGCCAGCUGGAGGAGAAGAACCAGGAGCUGCUACGGGCUCGACAGAGAGAAAAGAUGAAUGAGGAGCACAACAAACGACUCUCCGACACGGUGGACAGACUCCUCACAGAGUCAAACGAGCGCCUUCAGCUCCACCUGAAGGAGAGAAUGGCAGCUCUAGAAGAGAAGAAUCUGUUAAUCCAAGACUCGGAAGGUUAUAGAAAACAGUACGAGGAGUCAAUCCAAGAAAAAACACAGCUGGCAGAGGAGAUUGAGAAACUGAGAUCAGAGCUCGACCAAUUCAGAUUGAGGGCAGGCUCCCUCACAGAACCCACCCUGUCACGGUCUCAUCUGGACACAUCAGCUGAGCUCAGAUUCUCGUUGGGAUCUCUGGCUGAAACCCAGUCGGACCAUUACCGCUCAGCCAAGGUCAUCCGCCGGCCAAGGAGAGGUCGAGUGGGUCUGCGUGAAACCAAGGCUAAAUCGCUGGGGGAACAUGAAUGGCGCUCGCAGCAGCUAGGGGUUCUGGGAGGCCACCACUUUGAGAGCGACACGGAGAUGUCGGACAUCGAUGACGACGACAGGGAAACAUUGUUUAGCUCCAUGGACCUGCUCUCACCCAGCGGCCACUCUGAUGCACAAACUCUGGCCAUGAUGCUGCAGGAGCAGCUGGAUGCAAUCAACAAGGAGAUUCGGCUGAUCCAGGAGGAGAAGGAGUCGACAGAGCUGCGGGCGGAGGAGAUUGAAAACCGGGUGGCCAGUGUCAGCCUCGAGGGCCUCAACCUGGCUCGAAUGCACCACCACGGAGCCUCCAUCACCGCCUCAGCUACCGCCUCCUCCUUGGCCUCCUCCUCCCCACCCAGCGGACACUCCACCCCCAAACUUGAUCCUCGAAGCCCCGCCCGCGACAUGGAGCGCAUGGGGGUCAUGACACUGCCCAGUGAUCUGAGGAAACACAGAAGAAAGAUAGCAGCGGUGGACGAGGAUGGCCGCGAGGACAAGGCCACCAUCAAAUGUGAGACAUCGCCCCCUCCAACGCCGCGCACUGUCCGAAUGACACACACACUGCCAGCCUCUUCGCACAAUGACGCACGAGGGAUCGUGGCCUCUCUGGAGGCUGAGGCCAGCGCGCUGAGUAGUGUAGCCAGCAGCCAAGACUCCCUCCACAAGCAGCCGAAGAAGAAGGGCAUCAAAUCCUCCAUCGGACGGCUUUUUGGCAAGAAGGAGAAAGGCAGACUGGCACAUCUGGCACACAGACACGUCAUGGUAGAUCCACAAGCGACCAUGAUGGACCCAGACAUGGCAGGCCAGGAUAUGGGGAUGGGCAAGCUGGGAACUCAGGCUGAGAAGGACCGCAGGUUGAAAAAGAACGGACACGAGCUAUUGGAGGAGGCCAGGAGAAAGGGUUUACCUUUCGCCCAAUGGGACGGUCCCACCGUUGUAGCCUGGCUGGAGCUGUGGUUGGGAAUGCCGGCCUGGUACGUGGCGGCGUGCCGUGCCAACGUGAAGAGUGGAGCCAUUAUGUCGGCCCUAUCUGACACAGAGAUCCAGAGGGAGAUCGGUAUCAGUAACCCUCUGCACCGGCUCAAACUUCGCCUGGCCAUCCAGGAAAUGGUCUCCCUCACCAGCCCCUCUGCCCCGCCCACCUCCAGAACCCCGUCAGGCAAUGUAUGGGUGACCCAUGAGGAGAUGGAGACCCUGGCAGCCCCUUCCAAAACGAAGUCACAGUCUGAAGAGGGGAGCUGGGCACAGACUCUAGCUUAUGGCGACAUGAACCAUGAGUGGAUAGGGAAUGAGUGGCUGCCCAGUCUAGGACUACCUCAGUACCGCAGCUACUUCAUGGAGUGCCUGGUGGAUGCACGCAUGCUGGACCACCUCACCAAGAAGGACCUGAGGGUGCACCUCAAAAUGGUGGACAGCUUCCACAGAACAAGUUUACAGUAUGGAAUCAUGGGUCUGAAGAAGCUCAACUAUGACAGGAAAGAGCUGGAGAGACGCAGGGAGCACAGCCAGCAUGAAAUGAGAGACGUACUGGUGUGGAGUAAUGAGCGGGUCAUCCGCUGGGUGCAGAGCAUAGGCCUGAGGGACUACGCCAACAUCCUGCUGGAGAGCGGUGUUCAUGGAGCACUGGUCGCCUUGGAUGACAACUUCGACUAUAGCAGUCUGGCACUGCUCCUCCAGAUCCCCAACCAAAACACUCAGGCACGUCAGAUUCUGGAGCGAGAGUACAAUAAUCUGCUGGCGCUGGGCACUGACAGGAGACUGGAUGAGUGUGACGAUAAAGACUUCCGAGGUCCAUCAUGGAGGAGGCAGUUUCCGCCCCGAGACGUUCACGGUAUAAGUAUGAUGCCCGGAUCAGCAGAGACGCUCCCUGCUGGAUUCCGUCUCACCACGUCUGGUCACUCUCGAAGACUGCCUCCUGAGGUCCUCUAUGAGGCGCUGGAUGACAGUCCUGACGACUUGUAUUUGGAUUGGUUUCAAGGUCAGCUAUGCCACUCCGAAGGUCCUGGGCUUGUUGGCCCUCCGUGUAUAAUUAUUCUACAUAUACUCCCUCCUCUUCACAUGGUCUCUGCCAACCACUGUCCUGCUGUAUCUCUCCUUUUCUUUGUGGUCUCUCUCUCUCCUUCUCUGCUACUCUUGAAUCUCUCCGAUAUCCAACUCCAAGGGUGUUGUUUUGCAGAGUUGCAAAAUAGUUGUGUUUGAGCGGUGCUAUGUAAGUUGGCCUGACUCAGGAGGUUUACAUAGGUACAGCUGAACAGUACAUCUUGGAUGUCUCAAAAACUCAAACUGACAGUUUGUCAUUCCUUAUCCUUCUGCUGUUAAAAGAGGACACUGGCUGAAAUAGGCUUUCAUUAAAGGAUAAUUCCAGGUUAUUACUACUUGGUUCUUGUUUUUGUAGUUUUGGCCCUCAUUUCAAUUUUUUCUGAUAACAUGUACUCAAAGUAAUUGCUGAGAUCUGGAAACAUGACUGUAACCAAGUCUGAUAUGUACUAAACAAUUUAGCCAGAUUAUCUAAAGCACUUAAUUUAGAGAUAAAACUGAAAGUGAGCACAUCCAAAAGGUCAGUCGUAGUGCCGAAGUCACUCUGUAAACUCAGUUUGGAUACAAAUGUUGUUUGCCUUUGUUUUCUCUUCCCUUCUAGUUUGGGUAACUGGGGGAUUUGUUUAAAACUGGUAUGACUGUCUGACUGUUUGUUUAGUAUUCCCAGAUCUCAGCAAUUAACUUGGUUAAGUUCAAAGAUAUUAGUACCAAUUGGAACGAUGGCCAGAACUCCUAAAAUAAGACCCAAGCUGACAAAAUGAUAUCAACUCAAGGUCCACUAACUCACUUGUUCUGGAGCUUUCCACUGUAUAGAUUUAGUUUGCUCAGCUUGUCUUGGAACUGUACAUGUUCAAACUUUCAUGAUUAUGAGCAACGGACCUUGUUUUCACUGUCAAGCUCAACUAAAUGUGAUCAGAAUCAUGAAAAGUUCUGUGACACCUGAGCAAACAUCGCCAUAUAAAUAAAUCAUCGGUCCUUAAAUUUGAGAUUGUUUAGUCAACUGCUGUUUCCAAGGUCAAGAACAAAUGGUAAAACUCAAGAUCAGAGUUGUAAUGAACUGGAGAUUAUCCUUUUUAAAGAGAUGCAGAGUGUAUUGGCAACUGUGUCUUUACGAAUUAUGCUACCGGAGUUGUGAUACAUGACUGGAAAUCAUCCGACUGUACUGAUUUUGGCCAAUGCUCUCUUCUAACAAGGUGUUCCCAGUGACACUGAAACAGCCUUCCUGUGUUCCUCUGUCUCUAUUCUCUGUACUCCCUGGUCUGUGAUGUCCACAAUACACUCAGAUCUUGUUGCUGGUGUUAUCCACUCAAAAUUAAAACUUCCUUUGAGUGCGUGAUACAUGGCUUUCUCCUCUGAGGGUGACACUACAAGUAAUCUCCGUUGUGUGAAACUCUUGUGGCACUUGUUUGGGGUGGUGACCAAGUGGAGGAAUGUUUCCUUCUCACUCUGGAUCCAUCUGAUAAAGAGGAGGCUUUAAUAUUUCGACUCAAAGAUCUUUCUCUCUCGCUGUCUCCCCCUACAGUCGGACCCUCUGCAGUGCAGCGGCUGGACAGCUCCACGGUGAGAACCUACUCCUGCUGAGAGGUGGAAGAGAGGGACCUUAAACUGUACGCUGUUCAGUUCUGAAUGGAGAUUAACUAGGGGAGCUACUGAAUGGGCCAACCUGCCGAGGAACAAACCAUUCUGAUGACACGCACUGCCAAGAGGCCCUGCUCUCCUCUCUGACCCACUUCCCGACCCUACUCCACGCCCCCAUAAUGUGGGCACCAGAUGCCGGUGCUAAACUGUCCUGCAGGCUACCCCGUUGUCACCAUUUCUACCUUUUACAUGUACAGUAACUUGUCGAACCAUAACAUACUGUGUAUUUCUUCUACAGGAGAUAUGUAGGUUAUCUGUACAUAAAUGCCAUUUUUUUAUAUAUAUAUAUAUAUAUAUAUAUAUACACACACACCUAUGUAUAAAGAUAUUCAGAGUUUGUGCAAAAAAAUGUCCCUGCCACCUCAUUUAGUGGACCAUAGAUUAAUAUAUGCUGCUCUUUAAACUGUCUCCAUAUUAUCCCGCCCCUCUAGAUCAUUUUGUACAUAUGGUUUUAUUUUUUCAUUGUGCUGAUGAUGAUGAUGAUGAACUUGUGCUGCACCACAGAGAGGGGAAGAGACUGGAUGUUGUGUGAAAGCCUGCCCUCUAGUGGUGUACAAAAACCACUCUUCUGGCACCAACAAACUUCAUUAUCCUUUCUUAUGGACUCGCUGUCAUAAUAGGAGUGUUUUAAGAGGACAUGUUGACGCACUUGAACGACAUGACAAGCACUUUGAUACAACCGCAUCAACUCAACGGACUAUUCAGUAGCCAAGGACAAAACGAGACGCCAUUGCUCUCCGAAGUUGUACAAAACUUCUCAGAACAAAAAAGCAGGACGUCAUUCAUAGAACCUGUUACUUGUUGUACUGUAUGUUUUGUCAGGCGAUACAUUAUUACAAAGGACAACUACACACACGCACACACACAGCCGAGCUGGCCUUCUACCCCACCCCUCAGACACUACGUUAACAGAACACAGGAAAUAACUGAAAGACAGACUGCUUUAGCUCAGUGUGUGUAGAGUGUAUAUGACCAUGUUGAAGUGAGGUGACUUUUAAUGACAAAAACCUGUUGCUUGCUGUGACUUACAUUGUGUAACUGUUAACUCCUUGUUUCUGUCAGUUUCCAGGGUAACCUGUUGUACAGCCCUGUUAUCUGUCUUUUAGUUAUUUCUGAUGGACGACUCAAACAAGUCUUACGCUUUUAAUUUGUUUUACAUCUUCAAUUUGCACGAACAAUGAAUCAUUUUAUUUUGUCUUUUUUUUUUUAUUCUUGUACUUUGGUCAAAGUGGUGAGCAAGCAAAUUUUCAUUGUCAAUAAAAAAAAACUGUCAGUAAA
RNA transcript from Siniperca chuatsi (mandarin fish), 7077 nucleotides. It is a transcript of the gene named PTPRF interacting protein alpha 2, with no coding region annotated. The transcript has 33 exons. Lineage: Eukaryota; Metazoa; Chordata; Actinopteri; Centrarchiformes; Sinipercidae. The record is from RefSeq and is a predicted model, not a curated record.